AGCUGAGAAAUCAUUAAACUUCAAAAUAGCCUAAAAAACUGAAAAAAGCCUAAAUUAGGCAAGCUAAUUUAGGUUAGCUUAAAAUUAGCCAGAACAGCUAGCAUGUAGUUUAAAUAUUGCCUAAACUGCAAAAUAGCCUAAAAAACCUUAAAAAGGUCUAAAUUAGCUAAAACAGCUAGCAUGUAGCUGAAAUAUUGGCUAAACUCCGAAGCAGCCAAAAUUAAAUCUAAGACCUAGACUCAAUUCAGUCUUAUAGAAAUGUUCAGUUAUGUCGGUAAAAUUGGACUACAUCUUUCCUGUGUAGUGGUUACCUCUCACUUCAAAGCCACAAGGUGGUGGUUCAAAUCCCAGCUAGGUUCUGUGUGUAGAGUUUGCACGUUCUCCCCAUGCAUGUGUGAGUUUACCCCGGACACAGUCCAACGACAUACUUUACUCGAUUGGUGAAUCUAAAUUGUCCUUAAGGUGUGAGUCUGUGUGACCCUGUGAUGGACCGGCAAACCGUCCUGGGUUUACUCUGCUUUUGCCCAACAAGAGUCCUCUUGAUACAGACAGGAAUUAAGAAAUUUUAGAAAAUGGUCAGAUGGGUUACAUCAUCAAAAAGUUUUUUUUCUUGAUUUGAUGCUUUUCUUCCAUACUUUGUUUAGUUUACAGUAUUUAUGGUAAAUUGGUGCUUCAUGCAUUUGAUAAAUUGAGUUAAAUUUGUCAUAUAAUCAGGGAUAGACGCUUAAGUCUUCUUGGUUUCUUCAACAUUGAGUGUUCUCUGUCCCUAUGACUCUUUCAUGUGGAUACUUUUCAUUAAUUCAAAGAAUUUAUAAAUCUAUGGAAGUAUUAUGGACUAUAAAGAUGCUAAACUGACUGAGUAAGCAGUGUGAGUUCAGAAUACACCAGAAGAGGUCGCCCUUGAACACUAACUGGCUUCUACGGCUUGACGUUGACAACCACAUCCCGACAAGAAGACUGAGAUGAGAGCUGGACUGUUGAUCAUUCUUGUGUUUGCUGCUCUUUAUUUCAGAAUGUGGCGAGUAUAAGGAACAGAUAACGACGUUGACCUUGAAGCUACCAUUAUCAACCGUGCGGGACAUAACAAAAAACGUGAGCUAACACUUCUGCGGUUUCUUACACAUGACUAUGACUCAGCCUUUCAGCUUCAUAAAAAAAAAAAAAAACUGCCAGAGAAAAUGAUACUAGCGUUAGCUGCAAAACCUGCUAACAAAUCACUCCAAACUGACAUUUCUUUUUGUUCAACUCUAGAACCAUUUUAUAGACUCUAAACUUGAUCAGUCUAUUCUAUAAAACACCAGGUAUUUUAACAGAUUUCAUGAAUUUGCUGCAUAAACUUUAACAAAGCAGUAAUGAACAUGAAGCGUGGAAUUUUUGGAAUGACUUCUAUUAUCAAACAUGUUUCUACAGGAAGGAGAAACUCGGUUAAAUGUUAUCAUGACUAAACAAGAUAAUCUGCUCUAUAAAAGUUCUAGGGUCAUGGAGGGACAAUUGAAAUCUAUGCUUUCUCUGAGCUCCAUAUUGGUUCAUUCAUAAAUCCAUCCAGUCAUAACAGGAUUCUGUUGAGCCCAAUGGAUUUUUUAUUUUGAGAAAAUCAAUAUUUUUUGCCAGAAUUUUUAGAAUUUUGAUUACUUAGUUUUCUAUGUAUCUGACCACUACUAUCACUUUAGUAUGUAUAUUUUUAAAAUAAAUAUAUUUUCUUUCAUGAUUCACAUUUCAUCAAUACUUUCAGUCUACUUCAUCACUUUUGGGGUAACAGAGAGUUACCCUCUAUAUCAAGGCCCGACUAUAAACAGUCUAUUUCUAUUUACUUGAAGAACUAUAUUCGAAAUGAGCAUGGAGGCGGUGGGAAGGUCCUACCUGUGGGGGUCAGGGCGCUCUCCGACCGGGGACGCCCGCAGCUGCUGGAGGCAGAGCAGGCUGAUGCAAUAGACGCUGAGCGGGAGGAAGGAGCGCAUCUCCGGGUCCACUUCACACCUUCGGUCACGGAGGGAGGGGGCACUUUAAUGAAGAAGAGCCUGAUGCUGGAUUUGGAGCUUCACUGCAAAAAAAAAAAAAAAAAAAAAAAAAAAAUGUUGGAGUUGGAAUAAUCGAUUUUAAAACUUACCUACCUAUCAUUCAUUUAUUAAUUCAUUCAUUAAAACAAA
This is a long non-coding RNA of Oryzias melastigma (Indian medaka), 2147 nucleotides long. RefSeq lists it as uncharacterized. The transcript has 2 exons. The record is from RefSeq and is a predicted model, not a curated record. Lineage: Eukaryota; Metazoa; Chordata; Actinopteri; Beloniformes; Adrianichthyidae.